UACAGAGGGGGCAAGCGUUGUUCGGAAUUACUGGGCGUAAAGGGCGCGUAGGCGGCCUUCUAAGUCGAACGUGAAAUCCCCGGGCUCAACCCGGGAACUGCGUCCGAUACUGGAAGGCUUGAAUUCGGGAGAGGGAUGCGGAAUCCCAGGUGUAGCGGUGAAAUGCGUAGAUAUCUGGAGGAACACCGGUGGCGAAGGCGGCAUCCUGGACCGGCAUUGACGCUGAGGCGCGAAAGCCAGGGGAGCAAACGGG
Molecule: ribosomal RNA, 253 nt
Filed under: uncultured bacterium
Lineage: Bacteria
Description: partial 16S ribosomal RNA
Rfam family: Bacterial small subunit ribosomal RNA
Source: RNAcentral